AAAUGGGCAUAAAUUUAAUUCUGGAAGGAUAAAUUUGGCAUUCUGAGAGCUAAAUGUGCAUUGAGCAAGGUUUAAAAGUGCCGUGGCACGGGAGUGUGCCGUUGUCUGCCUGGCAUGGUAUGGCACCGGCACGCUUCUGUGCCGACACUUGGUAACGCUUGCGUGCCGAUGGAUACGUAUGACCUCCUACUGGUACGCUUUGGCACGGAUUUUUUUCAGUUUUUUUAGUUUCAAUAAACUCUUAUAAUAUUAUUUUGAAAGAUUUAAUCAAAUAAUUAUGAAUAUCUAUUAUGUAUAACUUACUAUACUCAUCAAUUAAUAAUAUACUUGUAAGCUUUUUUAUAUGUAAAGUACAACUACACCUGAUGCAGAAUAAAAAUUUUUACAGAUUAGAAUUUUAAGAAUGCAAAAACAUAUUUCUUUCUUUCUUUUGACCAUAUUACAGUUUUUCUUUUAUAAAAUACAAAAAAAAUAAUUUUUAAAGUAACUUUAAAAAUUAUUUAAAAAAAUU
RNAcentral lists this long non-coding RNA (511 nucleotides) under Ananas comosus (pineapple). Its description in RNAcentral is "long non-coding RNA (ACOM_LNC044638)". Lineage: Eukaryota; Viridiplantae; Streptophyta; Magnoliopsida; Poales; Bromeliaceae. The record is from RNAcentral.